This is a long non-coding RNA of Asparagus officinalis (garden asparagus), 1630 nucleotides long. RefSeq lists it as uncharacterized. The transcript is spliced from 8 exons. The record is from RefSeq and is a predicted model, not a curated record. NCBI's taxonomy places the organism in Eukaryota, Viridiplantae, Streptophyta, Magnoliopsida, Asparagales, Asparagaceae.
GCGAAAAUUAAAAAAACCAACCAAACCCCCCCAAAUUAACCCCGUUCUCUCUCUCUCUCUUCAAAAAACCCCAAUCCUGUGCUCCUUCUCCCCCCCAACUCUGAACUCGUCGCUGCCGUCAGAGGCCGCCGUCGAGGCCUGCAGUUUGCCGCCGACUCCCCCUCAAAAAACCCUAGUUCUUCCUCCCCAAAUCGGACCUCGCCGCCUCUCUUGCUCCCCAUUUUCGCCGGACGCCUUACUUUUAAGUCCUCUACCUCAAAACCCUAACCCUAAUAUAUGACAAAUUAAAAGAUCUGCUGGUCUUCAGCUUAGGUUUUUAUUGUUGUUAGAAUUUGUAUCGAGGGCUUCAGAUCGUUGGAAAGAUACGUCCUUUUCUCGAUUCAGAGGUCAGUAAAGCUCCUGAUGGAGAGUCGAGCGUCUCCCAAAUCUCGAUGUCAAGAACUGAAGGAGAAUUCGCCUCUGUUUCUUUCGCUGAUCAAGUGAAUGGACGGAAGGAUAGCUACAAACUAGAUUGGUGCUACGGGCAAGAAGAGACCACUGGUGAUAUUUUCUCCUGAGAGAUUAAACCUCUCCUUGAGGGAAUUCUCAAAGGAGGUAAUGGUUGUGUGAUUGCUUAUGGUGCUCAAGGAAGUGGGAAGACACAAUUAGUUCAGGUGACUUCAAGGUCCAUUUAAAGCCAAAGGUCUCGACAAAAUCCGUUUGUGCAGAACAUCUUGAAUUACGUAAAGAAAUUCUCACCCUGCUCAAUUUACAGAAACAUGUGCAAAAUAGUGAUGCUGAAGCUGCAAACCGUGACAGUUCAUAUACAGAAGCAUCAAGCACUCCUAAGAAAAAUGCAUCACCUGGUGGGAUGUGGCAUAUAGAUUUCUAUUUUAUAUUUUCUAAACGGCAGCGGAGCGUCCUCCAAGUUCCAGAACGAUGUCGCGCUCCUGCUCUACGGAUUGUAUCAGCAAGCGACCGUGGGGCCUUGCAAUACAGCGGAGCCUAGGGCUUGGAAUCCAAUGGAGCACAGCGAGUGGACUAGCUCGAACAAGAAACCCACUCUCAGCUUGGGGAUGCAACUAUAAUUUCUUAUAGAUGCGGCUACAAUUCCAAUUCCAAAUAGACACAACCUUCUUUAUCACCUUGCAGGCUAUAAGUGUGGAGGUAAUAUUAUGAUAUCAGCAUAACGUAAUGAUUAAUUUGCUGCCACCUAUUAAUUUUUAUGUGUCACAAAUGUUUGCAUCUCAUACUUUACCUUAAAGAGGUUAAAACAUCUACGGAAUGAAGGCUAUGUUUACGAUAGCUAUUCGUGACUAAGUAAGGUGACAAUAUUAUUGUCACGUAGUUAGCCUUUGUUUUAUAUGAAGCACUUUUUUUUAAAUAAAUGAUGAUGAUAUUAGCAUGUGCGAAAUUUUAGUUUCUUUCAAAUGAUUUACAUAUCAUAUGGUUUCUUAAUAUGCAUCAUGUACAACGCACGUAUUGCAUCCUAGUACAAAAGAAAAACUUAUCUACUGCAAACAGCUGCAAUUGUGUGGGGGCUUUAUUGUUACUUGCUCUUCUAUAUUUAAUAAUCAAUUGGAAAUUACUAAAACAAUUGAAAAUGUAAAUAGGUGAAAAGUUUGGGAGGGAAAUCAAUAAAAGACUACUA